Beta vulgaris subsp. vulgaris (sugar beet) is the source of this 1823-nucleotide long non-coding RNA. RefSeq lists it as uncharacterized. Lineage: Eukaryota; Viridiplantae; Streptophyta; Magnoliopsida; Caryophyllales; Amaranthaceae. The record is from RefSeq and is a predicted model, not a curated record. The transcript is spliced from 2 exons.
CUUCCAUUGGACAUAGGAGGCCUUUGAGUGGAAUAACCUUCUUCAAGUUUCUCGGUGGUAUUCAUUGUUCUUGGAUCUUUUUCUCAAUAGGGUUUCCUAUCUUACGUGAGUUCUAGCUCUGAUACCAAUUGUUAUUUUCCUAGGAACACUACAAGAGGGGGGCUGAAUUGUAGGUGUAGAAAUAAACGUAACUUUUUGCGGAAAUUAAAACUUAAACGAAUAAACAAGUUAGAGGAACAAGAGGGAUUUUUAAGAGGAAAAACUUCUUGGGCCCAACAAGAAGAAACAACCUCGACCACUAGGGAUUUUAAACUCAACUCUUUCACUAAUUAGGCCAAACAACUUUGUUACAACCUAAUAUUAACUCGAGCCACACCUUGAGUUCCUAAACUCAAGUUCCUGAGCCACUGUUCCCUUAACAGCAGUUCCUCUCAACUUCUCUCGAAGUUUCCUUACUCAUACAAGCUUCACUCAAAGCCUUUCUCUUACAGAACUUCACUCAAAGUUCCCUUACCCCAAAAACCAAAAUACAAUUUGAUCGAAAUAAGCUUAGUGGAAUUAGAGUAAGAAAGCAAAGAACAAAUGGCUAUUAUGAGAGAAUGAAGGCACUGACACUUAAUUAAUUAAACUCACUUAGUUACUUAGUCAGACACAAUUUAGAACUUAUCUAGACUUCAAUAUUUAUAGUAAUACUCAUAAAGAACGUGGGAUUAAAACUUGAUUACAUGUUGAGUCCAUUAACCCAUGAUGUUCCUUCCCCUAAGGAACACGUUUCACAUCAUGUCCCGUGAUCCCAUGAUCUAAAAAUGAACGUGGAUAUAUUUUAGCCAUUACUCCUAAGUAAUAGGAGUUCCUUGAGCUUUAUCCGAAAAUCAGUUUUAUAAAAACAUUUUUAUCUUUAAAACUGAAUUUUUAAUCUUUAAGAAAAUAAUAUCUUUUAAACAAAUUCUUUCUUAAAAACCGGAUAUUUAUUUUCUUCCUUUUUCCAAAAAAACAAAAUCUUUUACUCAAACGGAUUUUUUCUUUUUUAACUGAUUUUAUCAUUUGAAAUUAGAUAAAACUAAUUUCCUAUAAUUUAGGCAUGACUUACUCAAUUUCACUUUUAACCGUUAUACUUUUGCACGCCUAAGUCUAGUCCCUUUUAUUAACUAAGUUCAUUUAACAUAUUCAUUUAGUGCCACUUAGUUUGUUCCUUACAAAGGAACAAACUCUCAUUCUCAAAUAAAGCUGCCACUGUUCCUUACCAUUCUUACUUUGUUCCUUUACAUUGGAACUAGAAAUAUAACGCCUAGCUUCUAUUCUUCUUGAUCCAAUGCUUGCUCCAGUAUCAACUUAUAGAAACUUCUUUACUUAGCCUUUGAAAUCCUCUCUUGACUUCUUCCUUGACUUCGUAUUCUCCCAAUUCCUUUCAUUGAUACCUUAAACACCAUACACUUAAAUAACUCAUUAGUUCACUACUUAGUUUGUAUCUUUGUUUCUUUGUCAUCAUCAAAACUAGAGUUCAACAUAUCCCCAAAAGUUGGGAUUGAAUAAUAAAAACAAAAGUUCGGACCGUUUUUGUCAGGACACCCAAAGUUGGGAUUAAUUAAAUCAAUUUUUCCUUUUUUCUAUGUUUUUGUUGUGUGAAUUUGCAGGAAUUCCUCUAGACCAGCAGCGUUUGAUCUUUGCUGGUAAGCAACUUGAUGAUGGUCGUACUCUUGCUGAUUACAACAUCCAGAAAGGUAUGUUCAACUUGUAACGGGGGAAUAUACAUACAGUCACUAUUGUCUAUUGUAUAUUGCUACAAAGCCUACAAUAGUUCGUUUAAUAUUUUUUGUAUAAAA